Acinonyx jubatus (cheetah) is the source of this 931-nucleotide long non-coding RNA. RefSeq lists it as uncharacterized. The transcript has 3 exons. Lineage: Eukaryota; Metazoa; Chordata; Mammalia; Carnivora; Felidae. The record is from RefSeq and is a predicted model, not a curated record.
UCUCAGAGACCACGGCUGGCUCCAGCGUCCUCCCCGGUGGCUAGCAUGACCUGGAGCAUUGUGGGAAAUCAAUCAAUUACUGACCUGGGUCCCCCGGCACAAGUCAAUGCCACCGGGUCCACAGUGACCCACAUUCCAGCGGGGACAGCCAAGGCAGGAAGCCGGGGCAGGGUCUGGGCGGGCAAAGCAGAGGGUGCUGGGAGUCAGGCCCCAGCCCCUCCUCUUCCCUGGGCCUCAGUUUCCCCAUCUGUAAAGCCUGUGAUGCUGCGUGUCUGCAGCUGCCAGAGACCUUCCGGCAGGGAAGGAGGAGCAGAGGCAUAUCCGAUAUCCGCGCCUUGGAGAGGCUGUGCACAGGAUGUGACCUGACUCCCGAUUCCUGGGGCUGCUGAGCGGGGAGACCAUCACGCUGAGGCUGCUGGUGGCCGUCCUGCCGCCUUGCAGGGACUCUCCGGAGAAAGCAGGCAAGAGUGGGGCCUGGAAAGAGACAGAGCUGGAAACAUCUCAAAUGACCCAGGCCCACGUCUGUCCGGCUGAUGUUCGCCCAUUUUCAGAUGCACAGCCCGCACCCGAGAAGUCACCUGGCGCCCAGGAGGCCCACAGGGACUCGAGGCUCUGUCUGCUCAGCGGUGCUGUGAACACAAAACUGCUCGGAAGCAGGAAGCCUAGUAAAUGGCACAUCACGGGACUGGUGCUGCGGAGGGUGCAGCCUUGGGCCUGCCCUCUCUGGCACCGGUGACACCUGGACACCCGCUCCCCCCGCCUCCACGGCAUCCCCGGCGGGUGCUUCCUGUGGCUGAGUCUAGGCGCGCCCAGGCGGUUUCCUCCUCCACUUACCAGGGGACUUUGGGGUUGUUUCCAGGCUUUUUGGCUUCUACAAAUAAAGGUGUUAUAACGUUAAAAAACAAAAACACCCAGGGGCUGUGGAGCCCAG